This 45-nucleotide non-coding RNA is filed under the name Echinostoma caproni. Lineage: Eukaryota; Metazoa; Platyhelminthes; Trematoda; Plagiorchiida; Echinostomatidae. The record is from RNAcentral.
GCACUGCUGACGAGUCGCAAACGGGACGAAACGGCUGUCCAGUGC